GUGCCGGAGACGGACCGUGCCCGAGGAGCCUGGCUCCUGUCUGCCCGCAGCCCCUGUUCCCUUCUCGGAGCCUCCGGGGGGAGCUUGGACUCGCCUCUCGCGCAGCUGCUGCACUCGGGCCCUGGCUGCUUGGGUUACAAGUGUAAAGAGCUGCUGAGGCUCCCCCUGGCCGGGCAGGGAGCAAGGACCAGAGCCCUGCCCAAGGCCAUGUCCUGUCGGGGGGGGGGUCUGGCCCUGCUCCCCUCCCUGCAGGGCGGUCCAGGGGGCGGCCCCCACGGGCGCAGGGAUAAAGCAGCUGCUGCAGCCAGGCACAGGGUAGCGCAGGGCACGCUCCGGCCAUGGGAGGCAAGAAGGUCUGCAUCGUCGGCUCUGGCAACUGGGGCUCUGCCAUUGCCAAGAUCGUGGGUGGCAACGCAGCACGGCUGCAGCACUUUGAGCCGGCCGUGAGCCUCUGGGUCUUCGACGAGGAUGUGGGUGGCGCACGGCUCAGCGACAUCAUCAACACCCGGCACGAAAAUGUCAAGUACCUGCCGGGCCACCGCCUGCCUGACAACGUCGUGGCCGUGCCUGACCUGGUGCAGGCGGCGGCGGGGGCUGAGGUGCUGAUCUUCGUGGUGCCACACCAGUUCGUGAGCGGCAUCUGCGAGCAGCUCCGUGAGCACGUGCGCAAGGAUGCCAUCGGCGUGUCGCUCAUCAAGGGCGUGGACGAAGGCCCCGACGGGCUGAAGCUGAUCUCGGAUAUCAUCCGUGAGCGCCUGGGCAUUGAGAUGAGCGUCCUGAUGGGGGCCAACAUCGCCAACGAGGUGGCGGAGGAGAAGUUCUGCGAGACAACCAUCGGCUCCAAGAACCCGGAGCACGGGCAGAUCCUGAAAGAGCUGCUGCAGACGCCCAACUUCCGGAUCACCGUGGUGCAGGACGCUGACACCGUGGAGAUCUGCGGGGCCCUCAAGAACGUCGUUGCCGUGGGGGCUGGCUUCUGCGACGGCUUGGGCUUCGGGGACAACACCAAGGCGGCCGUGAUCCGCCUGGGGCUGAUGGAGAUGAUCGCCUUCGCCAAGCUCUUCUGCAAGGGCCCCGUCACCUCUGCCACCUUCCUGGAGAGCUGCGGCAUCGCCGACCUCAUCACCACCUGCUACGGCGGCCGGAACCACAAGGUGGCCGAGGCCUUCGCCAAGACCGGGAAGGUGCGUCCAGGAAGGGAAUACCGGGCAGCGGGGCCAGGCCUGGAGCCGGGGGGGGGAGGGAGGCUGGCAGAGGGGCUCGCAGCAGCUCCAUGGCUGCGGCCCCCUGCUCCGGCCCAGGGAGGGCGAGUCAGGAGGGCCAGGGCGGUGCAACCGAGGCUCUGCUCCGGGGCUCGUUUCAGUCCAUCGAGCAGCUGGAGAAGGAGAUGCUGAACGGGCAGAAGCUGCAGGGCCCGCAGACGGCCGCGGAGCUGCACCACAUCCUCAAGCCCAAGAACCUGGUGGAGAAGUUCCCCCUCUUCACUGCCGUCUAUCAGAUCUGCUACAAGGGCAGACCCGUGGCGGAGUUCAUCACGUGCCUCCAGAGCCACCCCGAGCACAUCUAGCGGGCCCGGGCCGUCGGCCAAGCCGCUGACCUUGCUGCGCCCCCCGCUCCCUGCCUGCUGCUUCUGCCGCCUGUGCCCUCGCGUGCGGGGCGACGCCAGGGCCUUCGCGCACCGUCGACGGCACGAGGGGAAGGAGCUUGCCCCGCAGCCCUGGGCCUGCAGAGGUACCGGCGCAGCCCGCUUCGCGCCCGGGGCCGUGGGGAUCUGCUCCGUGUCGGAGUCCAGCGCAGGCGCCGCUGUGGGCAUGGGCGCGGCCCAGGGCCUGCCUUGCUGCUGCGCCGGCUGCUUCCUCCGCCUUCCCCUUCGCC
RNA transcript from Alligator sinensis (Chinese alligator), 1875 nucleotides. It is a transcript of the gene named glycerol-3-phosphate dehydrogenase 1, with no coding region annotated. The transcript has 7 exons. The record is from RefSeq and is a predicted model, not a curated record. NCBI's taxonomy places the organism in Eukaryota, Metazoa, Chordata, Crocodylia, Alligatoridae.